AUAUGCCAUGCGUCUACGAAAAUGUACUGCAUGUCAAGCGAAGCUUGGAGGGUUUAGGAAGAUUGUUCUUUAAGUGGAUAUCAAGCCAGUGGUCCAAGCAAUUUAUUCUGAGAAUAUUCACAAUUUGCUCAAGAGACAAUGAGAAAUUUGAAUUUGUCAUAAAUUCCGAGAGGGAAAUAGAGUCGUAAAUUUCAUGGUCAAUGAAGAUUUUAGGAUUUUUGAUAAUUUUCUAACUUUUAAUUCUCCUAUAGCUAGACUUAGAGUUUUAUUAUUUUAUGAUGUAAUUGGUGUAUGUUUUCUCGUUUGGUUAGACAG
RNAcentral lists this long non-coding RNA (315 nucleotides) under Theobroma cacao (cacao). RNAcentral describes it as "long non-coding RNA (TCAC_LNC003461)". The record is from RNAcentral. Lineage: Eukaryota; Viridiplantae; Streptophyta; Magnoliopsida; Malvales; Malvaceae.